AUUGUAAACGAAGUUUUUUGUCUCACGUUUCAAGGCACCGAACAGUUAACUCUUCAAUCGCUAUGAAUUUUGGCAAUAUACUCAAUUAGUUCUUCUGGAUCCGUACAUCUUAAACUGUAAUUGUACGAACCAAAUAACAAUUUUAGAAGAAAAAAAUGCUCGGCGAUGGUGGCGAAACCCCCUCAAGAUAUGAAUUAUUGAGUAUGGUGAAGAAGCACUCUAACUUAAUAGGGAAAACCGUUGUUGAAGAACAAGAUUCUUCCGAUGUUGAAAUGGAUAUGAAAUUUUGGCAUGAUGUCUUUGAUUUGUAUUUUGUUCGUGGUAAAGAAUCAAGGGGACGCCAAGAUGAUGAUCUCGUUUUCUUUGUUAGAAAAUUGGUUUCUCGAAGUUCUGGUUCAAAUAAUGAUUCAGAGAGUGUUGAUCCUUACUUUGUACGCAGGUGGGCACCCGAGUUGAGCAACUUAGUUGACGAGACUUCUAUAGACGUUGAUUGGAGGCGUUCAUUUUACUUGAAUUUAAUUGCUCAUACGUCUUUCAGUGUAACUGUUGCAAUUUGCAGUCACCAGGUUCUUCAGAAUCAUCAAGCUGGGAAAGAUACAUCUUUAUCCCCUAUAUAUAAGGUUGUGAAGACUGUUUAUGCAUCUCCAAGUCGUGUAAACUUUCAAUUGGACUCUAAAAAGGAAGUGGAAACUACACCUGCUUAUCCGGAUAUAUGCUUUGCAAUUGAUGAUUUUGACUCCACGUUUGAUGCUGUGGUUUUGACUGAAAAAGAUCAUUGCUAUUGUGUAGUUCUUAAUGCACAUGAUGGGGCAGCAUUUCCUAUUGAAGAGGUGUCAAACGAUUGCAGUACUAGUGAUAACUCCUCCCCGGAACUUUGUUUUGGUACUAAUUCUACUAAGAAAAAAGAUACUAAGCUUACCCUUUUCUCGGGAUUUGUCAGCUAUCAGAUGGUUAGAGAUGCAUAUGAUGCUGGAAAAUCUCGAUUUGGGAGCCUUUUAUCUGGAGGCCAUUAUCCUGGAAAAACUGAUAGGAUUUACAUGAAAGGUCCCGGAGGCCGAGGGGAAGUUGAAGUAGCUGUUUCUGGUGUUUCAGGUAUAUAUUGAGAGAUGGAUGAAAUGGAAUCUGUCUGUUGCAAUGUCAGAUCAAAGUCAGCAGGAUUCAGGCCCACCUUCUCCAGUUAUAUCGAAGAAAGGGUUUGGGAUUGGUGUAAUUGUCCGCAGAGCUGCAUCAGUUGCAUCAGUAGCAGCAAGGCAUGCUUAUGCUGCUGCCUCUGCCUCUAGCUCAAAUUUUGAUGAAAUGAUACCGUUGAAAUGCAGCUUAAUGUCCAUAUCGUUGCCCUGGGAAUAUAUAGCAUACGAUCUUCUGUUUAAGGGUGCUCCUCCAGUGAACAUGUGACCAUCUCAUGUAUUUCUGGGCGCAAAGAAAAUAGAAUCGGCGAUGAUGAGUUAUGAAAUUCAUUUCUGUUCUGAAAGCUCUUUCCGUUGCAUGCUGAACGUGCAUGUUUAGGAGUGUGCAUAUUUGGUGGUAGGGUGAAAAGUGCCGUGGAAAAUUCGUUGCAUCUGCUGGCUGCUUGAAAUGUUAAAUUAAUUGUUAUUUUUUUUUUAACUGGUUUCAUAAUAGGUUGUCUUCUAGUUUGUUUAAAUUGUAAUCAUUUGCAAAGAGAGGGUUAAAAUAUAAAUUAUAUGAUGAUACUUAUAUAUGAGCGAUGACCCUCAUCAUGGUAUCCUUUUCGGAUCUGGCUUGAGUCUCUGCAUUCAUGCAUUCGAGACAUUGACGGUCGUUCGAUUAAGAUUAGACAAUCUAAUUUUAAACUUGGCUAUUUUAAAUUAUUAUUAAAUUAUAAUUGGUA
Non-coding RNA from Cicer arietinum (chickpea), 1849 nucleotides. Lineage: Eukaryota; Viridiplantae; Streptophyta; Magnoliopsida; Fabales; Fabaceae. The record is from RefSeq and is a predicted model, not a curated record.